Molecule: unclassified non-coding RNA, 502 nt
Filed under: uncultured Glomus
Lineage: Eukaryota; Fungi; Glomeromycota; Glomeromycetes; Glomerales; Glomeraceae
Also listed under: 1 other name
Description: SSU rRNA
Rfam family: Eukaryotic small subunit ribosomal RNA
Source: RNAcentral
AGCAGCCGCGGUAAUUCCAGCUCCAAUAGCGUAUAUUAAAGUUGUUGCAGUUAAAAAGCUCGUAGUUGAAUUUCGGGGUUAGCAGGUCGGUCGUGCCAUUGGUAUGAACUGGUCUCGCUGAUCCCUCCCUCUUGACGAACUGUGAUGCCAUUAAUUUGGUGUCGCAGGGAAUCAGGACUGUUACUUUGAAAAAUUAGAGUGUUUAAAGCAGGCUCACGCUUGAAUACAUUAGCAUGGAAUAAUGAAAUAGGACGUUUGAUCCUAUUUUGUUGGCUUCUAGGAUUGACGUAAUGAUUAAUAGGGAUAGUUGGGGGCAUUAGUAUUCAAUUGUCAGAGGUGAAAUUCUUGGAUUUAUUGAAGACUAACUACUGCGAAAGCAUUUGCCAAGGAUGUUUUCAUUAAUCAAGAACGAAAGUUAGGGGAUCGAAGACGAUCAGAUACCGUCGUAGUCUUAACCAUAAACUAUGCCGACUAGGGAUCGGAUGAUGUUAAUUUUUAAUGA